RNAcentral lists this ribosomal RNA (262 nucleotides) under uncultured archaeon. Its description in RNAcentral is "partial 16S ribosomal RNA". It matches the Rfam family "Archaeal small subunit ribosomal RNA", at positions 748 to 1008 of the family's 1478-position model. The record is from RNAcentral.
CAGCCCUAAACGAUGCGCGUUAGGUGUAUCGGUGACCACGAGUCACCGAGGUGCCGAAGGGAAACCGUGAAACGUGCCGCCUGGGAAGUACGGUCGCAAGGCUGAAACUUAAAGGAAUUGGCCGGGGGAGCACCACAACGGGUGGAGCCUGCGGUUUAAUUGGACUCAACGCCGGGAAGCUCACCGGAUAAGACAGCGGAAUGAUUGCCGGGCUGAAGACCCUGCAUGACCAGCUGAGAGGAGGUGCAUGGCGUAGGCGUGU